AUAACUUUUGGUGUUUACAAUAAUUUUAACAACAAUAAUACAGUCUUUAGUAACUACUUUGAACAUUGAAACUAACCAUUUUUAUUGUAGUGAGCACAUUUGAAGGUAAACAUGCUAAAGAAAGAUAAUAGUAAUACCAGUCCAUUAAAACAACUUUUGCUUUCAUAUCUAUGCCCACUCCAUUCAAAUCAAAUACCGAUUAAGCAUUCUAAUUAAUGGCAUCUUAUAUGAAACUUAGUAUGAGUGUAAAAUAUUACAAACCUAGUACUUAAUGCUGAUUCCCAAAUUUUAACAACAAAAGUUUGUCAUAGUCCUACUCAAUCAAAAUGAGACAACCCUGGAUAAGGAAGAUGAAUCUGGCCACGGGUUUGCCAUCUUGAAGGGAGUUUGUGACCAUGAUGUUGCAACCAGGGGGGGCUGAUUUAGACGUGAUCAUGACUCAUGAGGCCUUUGAGUUAUCGAUAUUUACCACAGGCGGGCCUUGUGAAAUCCACGAUUUUGGCCCAUCACCCGUAAACGGACCUGAAAAAGUAUUUUUUUCUCUACUUUUUAUUACUUCAAUAGAUAUUUCUACCUACAUUUUAACAAUUUGAUCUAGAAAAAAAAAAAAAGGUAGAAAGGAUUUGUCCUAUGGAAUGGGUGAGAUGUGAGCUGAAUUUAUUUGUAGGAUAAGAUUUACAAUACAUAGAUGGAAAGACAAAAAUAUACAAAAGGGGUGCAAUUUCAGUGGCGGAAUCCGGGGAAAAAGAAUAAUUAAAUGUGAAAGAAGAAGAAUAAAAAUCAAUGGAUGAGGUAGGUAAUAGCUAGGGCAAGUAGAAGGAGAAUGUAAGCAAUUCCUUGAUCAAUGGCAGUACCAUCGCUGGAAGGGGCAGGUGCAGGUGCAGGUGCAGGCGAAGAACCCAUGGUUUGGCCGUAACUGAGUUGCACAAGUGCAAAUAACAGGAACCCGAUGGCCGCUGGAACAACAUGAAACUUCAUUGAACCCAUCUUUAAAAUAAAGUUUUUUUUUUUUUUGUUUUUUAAUUGAAAGAUACAAAAACAAGGGGAGAGUUUUGUGGGCGUGUUGGUGAAAUUUUGAGGAAUUUGAUGGUAUUUAUAGUGGGUGGGACGGCAAUUUCCUGGAAAGCGAGAGGCGUAAAAAGUUGAAACUGAUGGUGACCUUUCUGCGAACGCAUGGUGGACAUCGGAAAAUUUUGACUCAGGUUGGCUUGGUCUUGGCUGCUGCUACGUUAAAGAACAAAAGAUUGACUAACCUUCCAAGGGUGGCUUGCCUUUGAUGUUUCUAAAAAUGUGUCUUUGGGCUAAGCCUAGCCCCAUCACCCUGCCCUUUACAUUUCUUUCAUUGUUUUUCUAAACCAAUUCUUACUGCAAUUCAUUUUCUAAUGCAUACGGUUACAAUAAUAACGAUACUAAUUGAGUUAAAAUUUAAUUAAUAUUAUUAAGUUAAAAUUUAAUUAAUAUUAUUUUUAUUAUUAUUUAUACUGUAUAGACUCGACAAUUAAUAAAAUUAUUAAAAAAUUAAUUUUAAUAAAGUAUUAAAUAUAAAUAUAAUAAUAUUUUUUCUUUUACUAGUUUGUAUGAAAUGUUUAAUUAAAACAACUAAAAUAAAUAAAUAUAUAAGGAUUGAACUUAAAUUUAAUGAGAGUUUAUUUAUAUAUAUUUCACUAUGCUAUUUAUAAUUCAAUUGUUAAAUAAUUUUUAUAAAUAUAUUUUUUAAUAUUAAUUUUUUCAUUGUGACAAAAUCUAAUUCUAAGAAAAUCAAAAUAUUUAUGCAUGUGAUGAAUUUUACAAUAAUUGUGAAUCCCAGAUCAAGCCACAACAAAGGACACAAUUGAGAGGUGAUUGCAUUUUGCACUCUUUACUUAAAAAAUGAGUAAAUUAGUCAUUAUAUGUUACAUUAAAAAAUAAAUUGAUCUUUUUGAUAAAAAUUCUAUCCAUAUCUACCGUUUAAAAUUAGUCCAUGUAUGUCAAUAUAAGGUACAUAUGACACGUCACAUAUUAUCAUUUAGUUAUUUCAUUAGCCACGUCAGUUUUUAACAUUACAAAUAGAUAAAAAUUUUAACAUAAAGCCUAACAUGUAAAAAUUAAUUUACUUAUUUUUUAAUUAAAAAAAAUAUAAUCUAAUUCUUAAUACAUAACUUCUCUUUUUGGAAAAUGACCCAACGUGUGAGUGGGGUUUAGACACUCUUAGAGUUAGUUUGGCAAUACUUUUGUAAAAGUGCAGUGGAAAAAUACUUCUGAAGAGUGUUUCUGAAAAAUUUGGUUUAAAAUUUAAAUGUUUAGUAUUACUAUUAAAAAGUACUUUUGAGAAAUAAAAUGUUCAUUUUAGACAUGUUAUUAUCAAGUAACAAAUAUAGAUUUAAAUAAUAUUUAAAUUAGUUAAUAUUAUUAUAUUUUAGUAAGAAUAUAAAAAUUAUUAUAAUUUGUUGUUAAUAUUUUAAUAUAUGAAAUAUAAAUUUAAAAUAUUUUUAAGCAAUAAAUAUUAAUUAUUUAUAAAAUUUAAUUAAAAUAUAUAAACUAUAUUUUAAAUAUUUAAAUAUAACCAUUAAAUAUUUGUAAUUAGUAUUUACAAAAAUAUUUUUUUUAUUUUUAAUUAAUGAUUUUAACAUAUUUGUAAUUAAGCACCAAGAAAAAAAAAGAGAAAGUACUAUAUUAUUGGAGGGGUAAAAAAGUAAUUAAGUACCAAAAGUAUUUUUGGGAGAGGAAAAACAAAAAAUUUCAGCCAAAAAUAACUUAUUUAGCAUAGAUUUUCUUUCAAAAAUACUUUUAAAAUCAUAAAUACUUUUUUUAAGCACUCCUAAACCCUAAGCCAAUAAUGCUGUCAAAUCUAACUGAUACCUUUUUUUUUCAAAAAGAAAAAGAACUUUUGGAGCAUCAUCAUGUAUCUCGAAACCAUUUUUUUGAAAACAAAAAUUUAGUUGUCGACUUUAAAAAACAAAAACUGGAGUCGCCACUGAUCCUUGAUUGAGGUGUGAUCGGCCCACCUUAAAAACAAAUUUGGCCUGCGAAAUUUGAAAAAACGGGUUCGGGAGUCAGUUACGCACGAGGAAGGAUUAGCACCCUCGUAACGCCCAAAAAUCGGUACCAAAUUGAUUGUUUAGUGUCUUGGAGUCGAAAAUUAAAGAGAUUUUGUUAAACUCAAAUGUUGAAAUCUGAAAAGGAUAAUCAAUUACUCAAGUCAUGCGAAGAAAUUGAGACCCAAUACGUUAGGGUACAAUUUCUCAAAAUCCCCGAAUUUGAAUAUCACCUUUAGCUUUUAAAGAAAAUCUUCAUUUCGAGAAAAUAAUAUGUCAUGCCCAAUACGUUAGGACACCACAAAUUAAGUUCCCGAAAAUGAUUUUUAUACUUAUACAUUUUAAAUAACGAAUAUUCUCGGUUAUUUAGAAUUGAUAAAGAAAAUCGGAACCCAAUACGUUAGGGCUCAAUUUCCCUCGAAAAUCCCUAACCUUGAAUAUCGUUUUUAUUUUGAAAGCCUUUGGAUCAUAAAACCGUUUUAAAUGUUUUAACAAAAUCAAUAUAUAUUUUGAAAAUAUAUUAAAAUAUUAAUGCAAUAUGAAACAAAUAUUUUAAUUUAAAUUAUGCAUAUAUGUGUAUUUACAAAAUAAAUUAUGACAUAUAAGUAUAUCUUAAAAUAAAAUGCCUAUGCAUACGUUAAACGUAUAUAUAAAAACUAUGAAAGUGAGGUAUAAAAUAUGUAUAGGUAUAUAAAAAAAUAUAAGUAAAAUAUAUUUAUAAAAAUAUGAAAAUGUGUAUAUAUGUAUGCGAGACAAAUGCAAAAAAUAUAUUUAAAUACUUAUGAAUAACGUAUAUACAUAUAUAUAUUUAAAAGAACAUAUAUAAUUGAUCAAAUUUCUUUAAAAUAAAAAAAAAUGAUAUGAAAAUUAUAUAAUAUAAAUAUAUAUAUGCAUAUGUAUAUAAAACUAAGAAAAAUAAAGUAAUAAUAAAAUAUAUGAUAUACAUAUAGUGUAUAUUUUAAAACGUUUUAAAAAUGUAUAUAUAUAUAUAUUAAUAUGCCUAUACACAUGUAAAUAAACAUAAUAAUACUAUAUAAUAUGAUAAUAAUAAUAAACUGAUAAUAAUACAGUAAUAUUAAUGGAAAUAAAGAAGAAAGAAAAAAAAUAUUCUAAUUUAGACUUUAAACAAACAUUUAGGGCAAAUUUAUAAAAAAUAAAAUGCAAAUGGACCAAUUAGAAUGCACAAUUAACUUUGAAGGAUCAAAAGGGAAAAUAAUCCCUCCCUCCAAAACGCUGCACAACAAUACGGGUCAGAUUGAAACAGUUAUAAAACAUGUGGCCAAAUUUAUAAGAAAUAAAUAAUUUAAUUUACAAGCACUGUAAAAAGAAAGGACCAGUUUCGAAAAUAAACCAUUUGAAUAAAAAACAAUCAAUGGCCAUUAAACGGCACCACUUUUCGUUAAUAUUAAAAAAAAUAAGAAAACAAAAUUCCUUUAAAAACAUCUUUAUUCCAUUUUCUUUAAAGAACAGAGGGGAAAAGGGGGGGGUUCUCUGCUAGGUUUUUUCUUAGCACCCUCCCCACACGUCGCCACCAUCAAAGAUCCACCGCCGCUGAGCCGUCCCUUGGCCUCCGACGACGCUCCGGCGACACCAGGUAAGCCCCCUUUCUCUCCCUCUUCGUUUAUUUUUGUUGUGUUUUUUUUUAAAAGAAGCAAAAGAAAAGAACAAGGUAAAUUAAAAAAAAACAGUAAAAGAACAGAGAAAGAAAACAAGAUCCCACCUUCAAAAAUGUUUCUUUCCGUCUAUUUUCUUUUUGAUUUCGGUAUAAAAAAUUUGCUAACCCCUUUUUACAGAAAUCCAUUGGCUUUUUAUAGCCAACUCCUUUUUUACAAUCUGCUCCCCUUUAGACACUCCCACUGUUUGUGGUUUAUUGCAGGUAGAAACGGCGUUGUGCGAAGCUGCUGAUCGUGGGUGAAGCGACGUGGGAGUGAUGGGCAGUUGCUGCAGCGUGGGGCAUUGUUGCGAGGGAAGAACGUGGGCAGUUGCGGUUGCUGCGGCGCUGAGGCACAAAAGCUGCCUAGGGCUGCUGUUGAAAAUUGUUAGGGCUAGGUAUUGGGCCAGUGUUGGAUUAUUGUAUUUGGGCCGAUGGGUUUGGGUUUGAUGUAAUCUGGGCUUUAGUUUUAGUUGGGCCCGGGUAAAAUUGGGUGUUACAGUGUUUAUAUUUUUAAAAUUGCAUUUCGGGUUAAUGUGUAAAAUUCACCUAAUUUAUUCUCAUUUACAUUCAAAUUACUUAUGUUUUGGAUAAAUCUGGUACGACAAAAAAGAAAAACUGAAAACAGUAAUAAAAAACCUAAAGAGGCGCAAUAUUGAUGGCAAUUGUUGAGGAGGCUCCCUCAUCUCCCAACCCAUGCCAAUGUUCACACAGCGUCUAAUAUAAGCUAUAUACUCACUCAUCACUUCAAAUUAAAAUAGUUCCCGAAUACCAAAACACACUUUUUCAUAAUUUUAAGCCUAUAGUUGUUCACAUUUCAAAAGAUUUAAUUUUUUAAAAAUAUUUAAGAAUGACAUCCAAUUAGAAUGUGACAUUUCCUUACACACCACUAACAAGGUUGCUAAAUUGACACCAUUUUAGAGUUAUUUGUCAACAAUUAUAUUUAUCCGAGAAUAACUAACUUUAUUUUCUAAAUACGUAUCUACACUAGCCUUCCUGUUGGGAACAGAAUGAAAGAGAUGUUGAUAGGCUUUAACAUAAAAGGACGUGGCAGCACCUCAUUAUGAAGUGGAAUCAUGGUAGGGAAAGUAUCGUUUAUUAGGUUAAGUGGGCGUAUGAUAUGAGUCAGCUGAUGCUUUUGGACCACUCUCUAACACUCGAAGAAGCUUUCAACGUCAAAGCAAAAGCUUUCUGGAAUCUAUCAAAACACUGCUUUAUGCCCCAGCCUUUACUUCCCCACCUCUCCUUAUUCCUUCCUUUGCUUAAUCGUUUCCCUCAUAUAAAAAACUCUCACACCCACACCCAUACUUUGCUUCACAACCUCUGUUCACACACCAACACCAACAUCAUCAUAAUAAUACCCAGAGUGAAAGGCUCAAGGGAGAGAAAGGAAACAAAAAUGUGCCAUGCAAACAUUCCUUGUGGUGGCAAGCCGGACUUGCUGGUGCAACGCAGCUGGUUCCUUUUGCAGGCAUCUAUGGUCGCUAACGACCAUCAUUCACCCAGGGUGGCUAGAGACACUGGUGGAUCCACUGGUUCCAUGAAGUGGUGUAUGUGUUCACCUACAAAACACCCGGGGUCUUUUCGAUGUAGGCACCACCAUGCAGAUUAUGUGUGGGGUGGUCGAUUCAUCACCAAGAAAUGACUGCACCACUAUUCCUAGAACUUGUGUGGGAGAGGGGUGACUGGUAGUAUAUAAUGUAACAAAUGGUUUCAACUAUUUCAUCACAUAUACGGCUUCUCCUUCCUAGAUAUUUCUUCUUGUUUUUUUUCCUCGUGAAAUCUGUUUCUUGGCCCACUAUUGCUAUUUCCCAUGAUACCUGCGCUUCAACUCCCAACCCAUUUCUUGAUAUAAGAAUUCAAUGAAACGAAGGAAAACUGUAGAAAUCUCUGUAAUCUAAUACUUUUCUGAUUUGAUCUAACAAUUAUCACCCUUAUCUUUGAACAUCGUAGUAAUUUCUUCUGGCUGUUGGUCUAUCCAAUUCAACAAAAAUAUUAAACAAUUGAUACCCUCCAAGCCUCUUCACAUGAGAAUUUAUAUUUAAAGAACUACAACUGCAAGACAUCGAUUAUGUUCUUAUUCAGCAUGGAGGAAACCAACUACAGAAUAGUAUUAGCCUAUCCGUGCAAAGCUCAAAUCCAAAUUCUAAAUUCAAUUGCAUCUCAAUAUUUAUAUAAUCAUAAGGUAAGCUGCAGAAAACUUAGCUAAAUAUACCAUUUUCAUCCAAUCAUGCUUUUACAACUGCUAGUUAUAUGUACUUACUAGUGGAAUGCACAUAAGUGUACUUUGUGGCCUGAACUAAACUAUGUUCAUUUACAUUACAUGUACAGUGUCAUCAAAGAGGAGCCAAAUCACAGCAGAAUCCGAAUCUGUUUCCCACUUCUAGUACAUCUAUUAGAGCACUGCCCACCACAUUACUGCAAACCACAAGCCAUCAUAGGAUUAUCAGUCAAUGUAUCUUUCAUAGAAAAAGUAGGCAUCCAGGUAUUGAAGGAAGACUUUUCAUAUAGAUCACAAGCAAACUAAAACUAGUCUUAGCAAGGUACAUAUGAAAAAGAAGGGUAAGAAGCCUUGUUAUUCCAUAUUAUACAAUUUUAUUUCAUACAAAAACUAAAAACCAAGGAUCAACGCUGUUCCCUACCUCUUUUUCCCCUCUAUGCAAACAGAAAAAAGGAAAAUGAUUUGAAACUCUUUCUGCACAAUGCUAAUCGCUGAGCCAAUGAUACAACAGCAAAACUUAAUCCAGCUAAUCAAGACAAUAUUGAUUAGGACAACAGAUUAUAGUUUAUGUUGGCAUUUAAUGUCAAAGAGCAGGGAACUUCAAAAUCAGAACAAUGACAUGUCUCACGGUACAUUAUUGCAAGUUUAGUGCAUACAAGUUUAUCAAGCAGUACCAUAUAUCCUUCGAGUUAUUAUCUCCUAGCACUCUGGUUUACACCUCUAGGAGAUUAAUGCUACUUUUGGUGGGAGUAUUAUUUUUUCACCAUAUUUUAAUGUAUGAGUUAGCAAUAAACUAACUUCAAUUGGCAAUUUUUAGUCACUCACAUGACUUGUUUUUGGAAAAGAGGAAGAAAUGUUUUUGCUUAUUUUGAAUGUCUUAUUUUUUUUACAAAAUUUUUUAUUCAUCCUUCUAAAUUCAAGCUUAAAAUUGUACUGACUAUUCUUUAUUGUAUGUCUAAUUAUUGUAAUAUAUUUGUAUAAAAUAAGCUUAUUCCUCAUGUUAUUACACUAGUAUCUAAACGAGACAUAAUUGUAGUGCACAAGGAAUAACAAAAAGUUGAUUCCUCACCUCAGCAUAGCAGUCUUGACGAACAAUUGACUGAUUAUUUCUAUCCAUGUACACCUCACAGGACACUUUUGCCUGAAACAUCAUACAUUCAAAAUCAAACGUGGUUGAAGCACUGAGCAUCUGCAUUCAUUGUGCAAAGUCAAGACUGAAGAAUUUGUAAAAAUAAGCAAACAUUAACUAUCGCGUGCAAAACUGCCAAACUGCAAUCCUCAGAACAGCAAAAGGAAAAAAAGAAGGGGGGUUAUGGACCACCUCCAUUCACUACUAAUAGUCAUUUUUGGAUGCUUACAAACUUUGUAUUUGCAACUCAAUACUCAAGGCAUACUAAAGUUAUAUGUAUAACACUCAUGAAAAGAUUUCCGAUAAGAGUACCAGUCAGGAUUGUGAUAUUAUAAACAUCAAUUUAUCUAUAGACUGAUGCUAAUGGGUCAUAGAAUAGACAUCAAUAAUAAAGAAGAAUCGGAAGCAUGGAAGCGCUAAUCUUUAGUGUUACUUCUGGACAAUUUAUCAACCAACUUGUUCACCAUAUCCUAGCAAUGUGGGCCAAAAUAGGCUUGCUUAGUGAUUCUAUCGCACCCAAAAUUUUAACUACUUAUAGUCAUUAAAUUAUUGAACUUAGUUCCCCAUCUCGAUCAGUUUCAAUACCAUCAUGCAUCAGCUAAGCAUAGCUGUCUACAACAAGCCAUCUCAAUAACCCACCUACGGAGCCACUGCCUCCUACUAAAAGGAAGGAAAAAGCUUUUACUUCACAGAAUUUCUGCUUGUUCUGUUGUUAAACAAAACAUAAGUGCCUUUAUAUAUUUAUGCUUAAACUCAAUCGAGUAUGGGAAUUGCAGAGGUCUCUUCACUCUUUUUUACCACAAACAAGCAUCAAUCUAUAUAACCUAGAUUUUAUACACUCCAUAAUCAUGCUUAUACCUCUAGUGGCAUAGCUCUAACAACUACAACAACCAUCCAAUUCUUUUAAUCUUUACUGACCAACUAAAUUCAAUAGGAAGAUACUUUCUCUCUUGAUGGUUACAUGUACCUACUUAUUUUACCAUCCACCUAUGCAAUCCUGGCUUCAGCUUCUUGUAAAAAGUAAUUACUGCUCUUUUCUAGAGAUAUUAGUUACAGUGAAACAACUUUAUUGGGCUCAAAACAGCAUAUAUCCAUUCAAAUCAAAGAAACAGCAUCAAAACCAAGUCAUUAGAAAUGGAACAACAAAGUUGAAAACUCAACCCCAUCCAAAGUGUAGUGCAGUAACACGCAUUAUCUUUUUCUCUAAACAUCCAUUAGUAAGAUGUGACGGAAUUCAGAACAUGCCUGUAACUAAGAAACAAUAUGCCCUAUGAUGCUGGUGGAUCCACAAAUAAGGUUAUUAAACAACAAUCAUGUUCAAUCUAAUCAUGAAACAUUAGUUUUUUUUUGAGGGAUUUGCCCAGGGUUUCUUUCAAACAGUAAUGCAUCAUUACCUAAUAAACUCAUAGACUAAUUGAUGAAGAAGAAUAAAACCAAAACACUAGAAAUGGUAAGAAAAGUUGAAAUUACAAAAUAUACGCUCCAAACAAAAUAAACCAUCGAAUUGAUUGCAGAAUCAAAUUCAAGGGAGAAAAAGAGAGAGAAAGGGAUGACCUUGAGGGGAAUUUUGAAGAGAAAAAGACCAAGAUCUCCAUCAACCUUAGUAUUAGUAUCAAAGGGAAUAACCCCUUUAGCCCAAUCCGAAAGUAAAUAAAUCACAUCAUGAACAACCUCAAACCCAUCCAAAUCGAGUGUGGCGUUCACGUACGAGCUCCCUCUGGCUCGGACGCGCCCACCUUCCGAACUCACCAGUCCCAGUUCCCUCCCUCUAUACCCAACCGAAACGACAAGCUUAUCAUAGUCCAAAGAAAAAAAGUCCCUGUUACGGACCCUGAUGGUCAAAGAAAAUGAGAGGUCGAGUGUGAGUUUGGGCGACGUGUUGACUCCUACGUGGUUGAGUUGGAGUCGGGCAAGUUCGAGAGUUGGAUCGGAAGGGUAAAGCAAGAAUAGGGCUGCGGAGAGGAGGAGGAUGACGGAGGUGAAGGCGAGGCAGUGGCGGAGGCAACGGUAGUUAUCGUUAUGGCGGGGGUAAUAGACGGGUAAAACGACGACGUUUUGAUGGUUAGGGUUUGGAGAGAGACGGGAGUAGGGAGCGGAGGAGUGUCGUAAAUCCUGUUUCGACAUUUUUGUUGUCCUCGUCGUCGGUGGGUUUGGUGGUGCCUUUGGCGGUGGUUGUCAAUUAGAAGUGGGCAAAAGUAAGGAGUUGACCCGUUUUUGGUUUACCAUAUUGCCGCAUGGUGUAAUCACUUCCUCAAAAUAAAUAUAUUGCAGUUGUACAAAUUUAAGAUUAAAAAUAAAUAAAUAAAUAAAUAAAUAUUUUUAUUAUUUUAUAUUUUAUAAAAAAUAUUAAAAGGUAAAUUUUUUAGAUUUUGGGCUUUAAAGUUUUAAAACUCUUUUUUUUAUGCUAUUAUAAUAUUUAUUCAUCUAACUAAACUAUUAUUACAACCCUAUUUAAUUGUAGUGAGCCUUAAAUAGUACUAUUUUUUCUCUAUAUUUUAUGCUUAGAGUUCUAUUCAAGUAAUAACUCUAUUUUAAAUUUUUAAAUGUGUAAUAAUUAUCAUAAAUUCUAUUAAAUUAUAAUUAUUUUAAAUAUAUAAUUAUUACAACUUUUAUUUUAUUUCAAUUUUAAAAUAUUAAAAUGUAAGUUUAAUAAUAUGAUGAAAAAUAAAACAAUUUCAAACUCAUAUAUAUUAUAAAUAGAUAGAUUAUAGAUAAGAACAAAAAGCAUUAAAUUAUUAAAAAAAUUAAUUUUGAAAAUAUUUCUAUAUUAUAAAAUAUUCGAACAUAUAAAUUGUCAAUAAAAUGACAUUCUUUAGUUUUUCUAAUAUAAAAUAGAAGAGUAAUAAAUAAGGCAUGUAACCUCCAAUCAAGCUCCCAUUGUUGAAAAUACUCAUCCACUGUCAUUUUUGGCAUCAAACUUAUUUUUCACUAUUAUUAUUUCGUUGAAAAGUUAUAAUUUUAUUUUUUUAGUUAUUAGUUAAUUAAUAUUUAAAACUCACAUGAUAGCCGCUUUAAUCUUUAAUAUUUAUGCAUUGUGUUAAUUUAGUCUUGAUAUUAAAAAGUCUAACCCUCAAUAUUUACAUAUCGUUUUAAUUUUUUUUUUACACUUUUGCUUUUAUAGUACUAAAUUUAGUUUUGAUUAGUUAUAAACUGUAAAAAAAAAAAAGGAGAGAGAGUCAAAUUACACAAUGUAUAAAUGUUGAGAGUUAAUUUUUUUAGAAUUAAGACUAAAUUGAUAUAAUUUAUAAAAUUUAAAAGUUAAAAUUACUAUUAUGUCAAUUUUAAAAGUUGUCACUGUUAAUCAAAUGGUGACAAAAAAAAGACAAAAUUAAAAAGUUGAGUAAUAUAUUUUUUUUACUAAUAAUUGAGUGGCUACCAAUGUGAUUUAGCCUUAUUUUUAUUAGAAUGAUGUUAAAAAACUGAGGCCAUUUAAGAUUUUAUUUAAAAUAGUCAUGUCAUAUUUUUUCAAAGAGUUUAGAUUGAUAUGUUAAUCAUAUUAAUUUUAACAACCACUCAAAUUCAAGCUUUUGAAGGAGCAAUUGGUAAGUCUUUAUUUAAGCAAAUCCCUUUUGACAUACUGUGUAGGUAUGUCCCUCUCUUAUGUGUGAGUACUCCAACCAUUUAAUUGUAUUUAAAUUUAACAACAUUUCAAAUUUAUGAGAAUACAAAAUUGUCAAAUUUAAACAUAAAAUUGUCAAUCUUAUAAACAAAAAUAGCAUUGUGAUAAAUUUAGCCCUUAACAUUUAUAUUUUUUUUUGUUAAUUUGACUUUUAUAUUUUUUUCGAGCUAAUUUUGACCAUCGACUUUUUAAAAAGAGUUAAAUUUGAUUAUUAACUUUUUAAAAAUGGUCGAAUUGUUAAUUUUUUAAUAGAAAUAUUAAAUAAAAGAUUACAUUUUUAAACAUAACACCUAAUAAUCCAUAUGUACCAUAUACUAAUUUUAGUCCAAGAUUUUUUUUAAAAUUUCACUGUUUUAAUUCAAAUUUAGCUAAAAUUUAUGAUAAUGCUAAAAAUUAUUCUAUUUGCUUGUUGGUCCCUAUAAUUUUGAUUUGAAGAUUAAAAUUUUGGUAAAAAAAGAAAUGGACUAGAGCUGCUCAUGGGCCGGGCGGCCCGGCCCGGCCGAAAUAUGGGAGGGUUUAGGUAAAAAUAUAGGCCCGAAAUAUGGGUUUGGGCAAAAAAAGAGGCCCGAUUAAAAAACGGGCCGGGCCUCAGGCACAACUUUUUGGCCCGGGCCCGGCCCGGCUCGGCCCGAAUAUAAUAAAUAUUUUUAUUUUUUAAUUUAAAAAUACUUUAAAAAUACUUUUUUUAAAAUACUUUUUAAAAUUUAAAAUAUUUUUAAAAUACUUUUUUUAAUUUUUGUUUUAAUUUUUAAAAUAAGUUUUUAGUAUUUAUUUAAAAAACGGGCCGGGCCGGGCUUAUGAAUUUUUUCCCGGACCGGGCCUGGGCAAAAAUCUAGGACCAUAUUUCGGGCCGAGCCCGGAUCCGGACCUAGGACCCAGGCCGAAAUUUUUUUUGAGCCCGGCCCGGCCCAUGAGUACCUCUAAAAUGGACCAAAAAUAUCCUCCCACUCACGAACCAUGGUUAAGUAGAAUUAACAAUAGCACAUUAAAACUAUAUCAAUAAAGUGAAGAGGCAACUCCAGCCUUGAUUCACUCAAGUAAAAAAAAAAACACCAGAUUAGAAUAUGUAAUUUUUUAUUAUAUAUUUUAAGAAAUUUUCAUGUGUUUCUGGCUUAAAAAUAUUUAUUUUUUAUCUUUAAUUUUCUAAAAAAUAAAAAGAAGGAAGAAAAUUUUGAUAUUAAUAAAUCUUUUAGUUUUAUAAAAGUAAUUGAAUUAAAAUAUUGAUUGGGUUAAAAUUCAGAUUAUUAUUUGAAGGUAAAAGUAUUAUUAAAUUUAAUAUUCAUGAGCAAAUCAAAUUUUAGAUUGAAUAAAUUUAAAUAGGAUUCACAUUGUGAAUCAGAUUAUUAUUAUUGAAUGAGUUUUUAAGAUGAUCUAAUAUGCUUUAAGUUAUUAUUAUUAUUCAUAAAAAUACCUCAUUGCAUUUCAGUCCAGGGAAAAGAAGAAAUAAAUAACAGAGUUUUAUGUGGAUCGAGAUCAUCACUUAUCUUUUAAGGGAAGAAGAAAGAGUCAAAAAGUAGAUAUUGAUGAAAUAAUUUUAAUUUCUUUAGAAUGUUCCUGAUCUGUAGCUGAAGUGAUAUUUUGCAAUAAACAGCUGGAAACCAUGAAAGGGUAGGUAAAGCUCAGUAAUCAUAUCACCUUUAAUUUGAUUUUUAACAUGUCAGUUUCUGGAUAAAGGAGAGCCUUUUCUUCAUCGAAUCAGAGUUAACAACAAACUGUUGAAUUUGUUUCAACUUGGAACAUCGAUUACACACAUAUAUAUAUAUAUGACAUGUGUUGAAUUAAUAGUACGAAAAUCGCAGUAGCCUGAAACAGAAAGAGCUUUACCAGAAAAAGAAAAAUGAAGGGAAGGAAAGCUCUUGGUGAUAAGGUGUCUGAUUUAAAGUAGUUGCAGAUAUUUAGAUAAUCACAUCCCAAGCAAAUACAGAGACCCCAGCAUACCUAUAUGUGCAUAUUAUAUAGUUCACAUAUAGAGGGGAGAGUGAGGAUUUGGUGAUAUUUUUCAGGGAUUACGUAGAUUCAACAGACUUGGGAGAAAAAGAAGCGGUGGAAGAAUUAUUGGCAGGCAUAGAUUUGGACCGUUUCAUCAUCCAGGCUGAUGACUUAGAUCGAUGAAACCUGCAUCGAAAGGAGCCCUGGUGAGUUGUUGGUGAGCACAAACAUUGCCCUCCUUUGCCUGAAUUGGGUGCCACUUCUGCUUCUGAUCCUUUGGGGGAGGUGCUUACUGUUAUGUUUCCAUGGGAGGCCAUUGCAAAAUGAGAGAGAAUAUAAUAAUAAAGGAGAAAAAGCAGGUUGAAGGGGCAAACGUGAAGAAGCGAUGAGGCCUUGGUUAUAUAGGACAAGAUGGGUAACUUAAGGCAAAACUCAAAUGUUGUCACUCUUUGGAUAGGGUACAAAGAAGCCAAUGGAUGGAUAAACCAAGUGGGUCGUUCCCCUUUGUGUAAUUUCACCUUUGUUUGUUUUUUUUAUUCUUAACCAUGGUACUGGAAAGAUCUGGGGUUUAGUUACAUCUAUGAUCAGUUAUUCCAUAUUCACAACCAAAUACGAAAGGGACAUAUCAAUUGGUAAAAUGAUAGUAGCAUAGAAUUUUCAACAAGGUUGAAGCUUUGAGAUGUUGAAGGUCUUGACUGGAAUCUAACCCACGUAAAUAAGCCUUUUGGAUUGGCAAAGGGGAUGAGGCAGUGCAUGGGCUUGAGAGUGACUAAAAAUCUCAUCUUAUCUCUUUACUCUUGGAGAGCGUUACCAUAAUCUAAACAGAGUUUGGGCGUUUUCCAAAAGAGGCAGGCACUGCAGUUGUUAUCCAAUUACAACGUUGAAGCCUGAAAGCGAUGUAGCGGGCAGUGGGGAGGGCGUUUGGUUGAUAGUGUGUAGCAGGACAAUUUUGAUGACUGGGUACUACUAUAAUAGGGAUUUGGACGUAGCUGAAAUCAAUGAGCAGUGGCAUCGACAGACAGGCUGAUGGAAUCUGGUGUUUUCCUUUGUUUCCUCUUGCCUUUUCUGAUUAGAAUCAUAAAAUAAUAACAAUAAUCAGUGGUUACACUGUCGGCAUGUGAGGUGACGUUGCAUUGGAAUUUGGAUUGUAAUAAGCAGCUUUAUUGUGUUCUUUGGGUUUUGGGGAACCUAAAAGAUUUUCGC
Molecule: long non-coding RNA, 14766 nt
Filed under: Gossypium raimondii (Peruvian cotton)
Lineage: Eukaryota; Viridiplantae; Streptophyta; Magnoliopsida; Malvales; Malvaceae
Description: long non-coding RNA (GRAI_LNC008041)
Source: RNAcentral